AGCCGGUUCCUCGGAGGUAAUCUAUCUUGAAAAUAGAAAUAAGGUGUUCAACUCAUCCUACUGGCUU
This 67-nucleotide transfer RNA is filed under the name Chaetopterus variopedatus. RNAcentral's name for it is "tRNA-Ser". Lineage: Eukaryota; Metazoa; Annelida; Polychaeta; Chaetopteridae. The record is from RNAcentral.